This 468-nucleotide ribosomal RNA is filed under the name uncultured bacterium. RNAcentral describes it as "partial 16S ribosomal RNA". It matches the Rfam family "Bacterial small subunit ribosomal RNA", at positions 28 to 507 of the family's 1533-position model. The record is from RNAcentral.
GACGAACGCUGGCGGCGUGCUUAACACAUGCAAGUCGAGCGGAAAGGCCCUGCUUUUGUGGGGUGCUCGAGUGGCGAACGGGUGAGUAACACGUGAGUAACCUGCCCUUGACUUUGGGAUAACUUCAGGAAACUGGGGCUAAUACCGGAUAGGAGCUCCUGCUGCAUGGUGGGGGUUGGAAAGUUUCGGCGGUUGGGGAUGGACUCGCGGCUUAUCAGCUUGUUGGUGGGGUAGUGGCUUACCAAGGCUUCGACGGGUAGCCGGCCUGAGAGGGUGACCGGCCACAUUGGGACUGAGAUACGGCCCAGAGUCGUACGGGAGGCAGCAGUGGGGAAUAUUGCACAAUGGGCGGAAGCCUGAUGCAGAAACGCCGCGUGCGGGAUGACGGCCUUCGGGUUGUAAACCGCUUUCGCCUGUGACGAAGCGUGAGUGACGGUAAUGGGUAAAGAAGCACCGGCUAACUACGUG